RNAcentral lists this ribosomal RNA (463 nucleotides) under Saccharomycetales sp. RP. Its description in RNAcentral is "LSU rRNA". It matches the Rfam family "Eukaryotic large subunit ribosomal RNA", at positions 90 to 593 of the family's 3401-position model. Lineage: Eukaryota; Fungi; Ascomycota; Saccharomycetes; Saccharomycetales. The record is from RNAcentral. RNAcentral also lists the same sequence under 1 other name.
CGAGUGAAGCGGCAAAAGCUCAAAUUUGAAAUCCUCAGGGAAUUGUAAUUUGAAGGUGGUCUCAGUUAGUUCAAACAUUCUUAAGUCCAUUGGAAAAUGGCGCCAUGGAGGGUGAUAGCCCCGUAAAGAAUCCGUUUGCUCUAUUUUCUUUGACCACCAAAGAGUCGAGUUGUUUGGGAAUGCAGCUCUAAGUGGGUGGUAAAUUCCAUCUAAAGCUAAAUAUUGGCGAGAGACCGAUAGCGAACAAGUACAGUGAUGGAAAGAUGAAAAGCACUUUGAAAAGAGAGUGAAAAAGUACGUGAAAUUGUUGAAAGGGAAGGGCUUGCAAGCAGACACAACCUUUUGGUUGGGCCAGCAUCGGGGCGAGGGGAAGGAAAAAAGAAAAGGAAAUGUAGCUCUCGAGUAUUAUAGACCUCUUCCACAACUUCCAUCUCAUCCCGAGGCCUGCGGAUUCAUUCCUAGG